RNAcentral lists this ribosomal RNA (421 nucleotides) under Actinomycetes bacterium. Its description in RNAcentral is "Actinobacteria bacterium partial 16S ribosomal RNA". It matches the Rfam family "Bacterial small subunit ribosomal RNA", at positions 355 to 776 of the family's 1533-position model. Lineage: Bacteria; Bacillati; Actinomycetota; Actinomycetes. The record is from RNAcentral.
UGGGGAAUAUUGCACAAUGGGCGCAAGCCUGAUGCAGCGACGCCGCGUGGGGGAUGACGGCCUUCGGGUUGUAAACCUCUUUCAGCAUCGACGAAGCCUGGGGUUUUCUUCGGGUGACGGUAGGUGCAGAAGAAGCACCGGCCAACUACGUGCCAGCAGCCGCGGUAAUACGUAGGGUGCGAGCGUUGUCCGGAAUUACUGGGCGUAAAGAGCUCGUAGGUGGUUUGUCGCGUUGUUCGUGAAAUGCCACAGCUUAACUGUGGGCGUGCGGGCGAUACGGGCAGACUGGAGUACUGCAGGGGAGACUGGAAUUCCUGGUGUAGCGGUGGAAUGCGCAGAUAUCAGGAGGAACACCGGUGGCGAAGGCGGGUCUCUGGGCAGUAACUGACGCUGAGGAGCGAAAGCGUGGGGAGCGAACAGG